Molecule: ribosomal RNA, 541 nt
Filed under: uncultured bacterium
Lineage: Bacteria
Description: bacterial SSU rRNA
Rfam family: Bacterial small subunit ribosomal RNA
Source: RNAcentral
UGGGGAAUCUUGGACAAUGGGGGCAACCCUGAUCCAGCCAUGCCGCGUGAGUGAUGAAGGCCUUAGGGUCGUAAAGCUCUUUCGCCUGUGAAGAUAAUGACGGUAGCAGGUAAAGAAACCCCGGCUAACUCCGUGCCAGCAGCCGCGGUAAUACGGAGGGGGUUAGCGUUGUUCGGAAUUACUGGGCGUAAAGCGCACGUAGGCGGACCAGAAAGUUGGGGGUGAAAUCCCGGGGGCUCAACCCCGGAACUGCCUCCAAAACUAUUGGUCUAGAGUUCGAGAGAGGUGAGUGGAAUUCCAAGUGUAGAGGUGAAAUUCGUAGAUAUUUGGAGGAACACCAGUGGCGAAGGCGGCUCACUGGCUCGAUACUGACGCUGAGGUGCGAAAGUGUGGGGAGCAAACAGGAUUAGAUACCCCUGGUAGUCCACACCGUAAAACGAUGAAUGCCAGUCGUCGGGUAGCAUGCUAUUCGGUGACACACCUAACGGAUUAAGCAUUCCGCCUGGGAGUACGGUCGCAAGAUUAAAACUCAAAUGAAUUG